CUCUUCUUCUUUCACUUUGAUCUCUUCAGUAAGGCGAGCAACGUCAGUAGUUUGAAGCGCCCAAGCCUCCUCAAGUUCACGAGCCUGAUCGGCCAACUUAUCCUCAUAGGAUUUCAACCGACCCUCGAUUUCAGCAAUGUAGUCAUGGGCGGAUGAAAGUUGGGCUUGGGCAGAAGCUGCGUCUUGGACUGCUUUUAAAAUUUCUUGCCUCAGAAGACGAGCCUUUUCCCUGAUUAUAUGCUGGUUCACCAGGCUCUCUAUACUCAAACUCAUCGUCUGGGCCAGGAGAUCGUCAAUACUACUCGGAAUCAGCCUGUUCCGAUCCUCCUGGAGGCAGAUGGAAGCUCCCAGAACCUUGGCCAAGCCCGAGUUCUCACGAACUGAUCGGUUCCCCUCUAAGGAAUGAAUAAGGACCUGGGCGCCUCGAGACAGGGUCCUCACGGUAGGUUGGGAA
RNAcentral lists this unclassified non-coding RNA (454 nucleotides) under Hevea brasiliensis (rubber tree). Lineage: Eukaryota; Viridiplantae; Streptophyta; Magnoliopsida; Malpighiales; Euphorbiaceae. The record is from RNAcentral.